Lycium barbarum (goji berry) is the source of this 1342-nucleotide long non-coding RNA. RefSeq lists it as uncharacterized. The transcript has 2 exons. Lineage: Eukaryota; Viridiplantae; Streptophyta; Magnoliopsida; Solanales; Solanaceae. The record is from RefSeq and is a predicted model, not a curated record.
UAUGCCGAAUGCUUACUGGAUAUAAAUUGGUUAAUCUUUGCUGAGCAUGUUCAUUCUUCUUCAUGGUUACAAAUGGAAAGCAUUAUUUUGUGCUUUUGGGUGUUUUUCUUUUCUUCUUUUUAUUGGAUCAUGUUUAAUUUUUUAACCGUUAAUGUUAAAUAUUAGAGAAAACUUCGUUCGUCAAUUCGUUUUUUAAAUAACCGCGCGAAGCGCGACCAAAUUUACUAGUUUUAUUAAAGAAUCAAAAUAGAGUUUGUACACAAAUAAGCAAAGAAAAGGAAAGUAAAGUAAUUGUCUAGAAAGAAGAGAACAAGACCAAGUGUUCCGAUCUCCUUCUUCUCAUCUGCUACUUCACUGCUCAAGAUCGUUAAUGUUCUUGGUCUUCUUCGAUUCCAGAUAAGUUCCUGUUGAUUUGAAUCCCAUUUUCCUUUUUUGAUUUCCACUCUCUUAGCUGAAUGUUUAUGCUUUGUAGAUCUUCCUUCUUAAUGAAGAUCCGGCUGAGAUUUGUCACCAUUCUUCCAAUUAGAAGCUGCAGAGGAGCAAUUUGAGGAAUUUCUUGAGGUUUGUCACAUGGAGUCGCGCAACACUAUGUAGCUAGACACAACAUUUUAGCUCCAGCGGCAGUGCUAGGAGUUUCACUAAUGGAGUUCAAAAAUAUAAAGAAGUAAACACAAUGUGGGAAAUAGUGCAAAUGGAGGAUGAUUUCACCACAGGAAUUGAAGAACCCUUUCACUAUGAAAAAAAUAAACUCAAUGCUUCUUGUGAAGACCCGGCUGGUAUUGAGUACGAUUCUUCUCGAACUUAGGCGACUGAUAGGACCAAUCAGCCUAAAUCCCAACUGGAUUUAAGAGAGAAUUGUACCUGAGGAAAAAUUACUCUAAAAUGGAUGCUUGUUAUGUCACUCCUUUAUGAAAGAGACAAAGAUCUGUCGCAGAAGUGAGUACUUUUUUUUUAAAAAACAAAAUCAUGAUUUUAGUUACUUAUCUGUCUCAGAUUUCAACUUUAAGAGCCCCAAAAUUAUGGAUGAUACUAUAUCCUCUAGUAGCACUAAAUGAGUGCCUGGAUCGAGCUGAAAUUAGGUUUGUUUGCUCAAUAAAUGCUAGUUUUAGAGUCCUAAUAUGCCUAAAGGUUCAACUUAUUCAUUAUGUAUUGUUAUUUCCCAUCUCUUUGGUUUAAAAUCUUUUCUUGGUAAGAGAGCUAAUAAUGAUUUGAUAUAAGUGAAGAAAGGUAAAUUUAUUAGCCCUCUUUACUUAGAGUUAGUUGGUGACUUUACUUUUUUCUUUUCAUUCCAUUCAAUUCAAACAAAGGAGAAAACUUUGAGGUUUUUCUUCUCUCCUUUCUA